Molecule: ribosomal RNA, 247 nt
Filed under: uncultured archaeon
Lineage: Archaea
Description: partial 16S ribosomal RNA
Rfam family: Archaeal small subunit ribosomal RNA
Source: RNAcentral
CCGACGGUGAGGGAUGAAAGCUGGGGAGCAAACCGGAUUAGAUACCCGGGUAGUCCCAGCUGUAAACGAUGCGCGUUAGGUGUGUCAGUGACCACGUGUCACUGAUGUGCCGAAGGGAAACCGUGAAACGCGCCGCCUGGGGAGUACGGUCGCAAGGCUGAAACUUAGAGGAAUUGGCGGGGGAGCACCACAACGGGUGGAGCCUGCGGUUUAAUCGGACUCAACGCCGGAAAUCUCACCGGAUAAG